GACGAACGCUGGCGGCGUGCUUAACACAUGCAAGUCGAACGGAAAGGCCCUGCUUGCGGGGUACUCGAGUGGCGAACGGGUGAGUAACACGUGGGUGAUCUGCCCUGCACUUCGGGGUAUGCCUGGGAAACUGGGUCUAAUACCGGAUAGGAGCCCUCUUGAGGCUGGUGGGUGGAAAGAUUUUUCGGUGUGGGAUGGGCUCGCGGCCUAUCUGCUUGUUGGUGGGGUAAGGGCUUACCAAGGCGGUGACGGGUGGCCGGCCUGAGAGGGUGGACGGCCACAUUGGGACUGAGAUACGGCCCAGACUCCUACGGGAGGCAGCAGUGGGGAAUAUUGCACAAUGGGCGGAAGCCUGAUGCAGCAACGCCGCGUGGGGGAUGACGGCCUUCGGGUUGUAAACCGCUUUCGCCUGGGACGAAGCGUGUGUGACGGUAAUGGGUAAAGAAGCACCGGCUAACUACGUG
RNAcentral lists this ribosomal RNA (464 nucleotides) under uncultured bacterium. RNAcentral's name for it is "partial 16S ribosomal RNA". It matches the Rfam family "Bacterial small subunit ribosomal RNA", at positions 28 to 507 of the family's 1533-position model. The record is from RNAcentral.